AUGCUUGCUUAGGCAGCAUGUAUGCUAAAAAUUGGAAUAAUACAGAGAAGAUUAGCAUGGCCUUUGUGCAAGGAUGAUAUGCAAAUGCAUGAAGCCUUCCAUGUUAAU
Nomascus leucogenys (northern white-cheeked gibbon) is the source of this 108-nucleotide small nuclear RNA. Lineage: Eukaryota; Metazoa; Chordata; Mammalia; Primates; Hylobatidae. The record is from Ensembl.